This 2904-nucleotide ribosomal RNA is filed under the name Salmonella enterica. Its description in RNAcentral is "23S ribosomal RNA". It matches the Rfam family "Bacterial large subunit ribosomal RNA". RNAcentral also lists the same sequence under 1 other name. The record is from RNAcentral. Lineage: Bacteria; Pseudomonadati; Pseudomonadota; Gammaproteobacteria; Enterobacterales; Enterobacteriaceae.
GGUUAAGCGACUAAGCGUACACGGUGGAUGCCCUGGCAGUCAGAGGCGAUGAAGGGCGUGCUAAUCUGCGAUAAGCGCCGGUAAGGUGAUAUGAACCGUUAUAACCGGCGAUACCCGAAUGGGGAAACCCAGUGUGAUUCGUCACACUAUCAUUAACUGAAUCCAUAGGUUAAUGAGGCGAACCGGGGGAACUGAAACAUCUAAGUACCCCGAGGAAAAGAAAUCAACCGAGAUUCCCCCAGUAGCGGCGAGCGAACGGGGAGGAGCCCAGAGCCUGAAUCAGCAUGUGUGUUAGUGGAAGCGUCUGGAAAGGCGCGCGAUACAGGGUGACAGCCCCGUACACAAAAGCGCAUGUGCUGUGAGCUCGAUGAGUAGGGCGGGACACGUGGUAUCCUGUCUGAAUAUGGGGGGACCAUCCUCCAAGGCUAAAUACUCCUGACUGACCGAUAGUGAACCAGUACCGUGAGGGAAAGGCGAAAAGAACCCCGGCGAGGGGAGUGAAAAAGAACCUGAAACCGUGUACGUACAAGCAGUGGGAGCACCCUUUGGGUGUGACUGCGUACCUUUUGUAUAAUGGGUCAGCGACUUAUAUUCUGUAGCAAGGUUAACCGAAUAGGGGAGCCGGAGGGAAACCGAGUCUUAACCGGGCGUUAAGUUGCAGGGUAUAGACCCGAAACCCGGUGAUCUAGCCAUGGGCAGGUUGAAGGUUGGGUAACACUAACUGGAGGACCGAACCGACUAAUGUUGAAAAAUUAGCGGAUGACCUGUGGCUGGGGGUGAAAGGCCAAUCAAACCGGGAGAUAGCUGGUUCUCCCCGAAAGCUAUUUAGGUAGCGCCUCGUGAAUUCAUCUCCGGGGGUAGAGCACUGUUUCGGCUAGGGGGCCAUCCCGGCUUACCAACCCGAUGCAAACUGCGAAUACCGGAGAAUGUUAUCACGGGAGACACACGGCGGGUGCUAACGUCCGUCGUGAAGAGGGAAACAACCCAGACCGCCAGCUAAGGUCCCAAAGUCAUGGUUAAGUGGGAAACGAUGUGGGAAGGCCCAGACAGCCAGGAUGUUGGCUUAGAAGCAGCCAUCAUUUAAAGAAAGCGUAAUAGCUCACUGGUCGAGUCGGCCUGCGCGGAAGAUGUAACGGGGCUAAACCAUGCACCGAAGCUGCGGCAGCGACACUGUGUGUUGUUGGGUAGGGGAGCGUUCUGUAAGCCUGUGAAGGUGUGUCGUGAGGCAUGCUGGAGGUAUCAGAAGUGCGAAUGCUGACAUAAGUAACGAUAAAGCGGGUGAAAAGCCCGCUCGCCGGAAGACCAAGGGUUCCUGUCCAACGUUAAUCGGGGCAGGGUGAGUCGACCCCUAAGGCGAGGCCGAAAGGCGUAGUCGAUGGGAAACGGGUUAAUAUUCCCGUACUUGGUGUUACUGCGAAGGGGGGACGGAGAAGGCUAUGUUGGCCGGGCGACGGUUGUCCCGGUUUAAGUGUGUAGGUGUGUGUUCCAGGUAAAUCCGGUUCACUUUAACACUGAGGCGUGACGACGAGGCACUACGGUGCUGAAGCAACAAAUGCCCUGCUUCCAGGAAAAGCCUCUAAGCAUCAGGUAACAUCAAAUCGUACCCCAAACCGACACAGGUGGUCAGGUAGAGAAUACCAAGGCGCUUGAGAGAACUCGGGUGAAGGAACUAGGCAAAAUGGUGCCGUAACUUCGGGAGAAGGCACGCUGACACGUAGGUGAAGUGAUUUACUCAUGGAGCUGAAGUCAGUCGAAGAUACCAGCUGGCUGCAACUGUUUAUUAAAAACACAGCACUGUGCAAACACGAAAGUGGACGUAUACGGUGUGACGCCUGCCCGGUGCCGGAAGGUUAAUUGAUGGGGUCAGCGCAAGCGAAGCUCCUGAUCGAAGCCCCGGUAAACGGCGGCCGUAACUAUAACGGUCCUAAGGUAGCGAAAUUCCUUGUCGGGUAAGUUCCGACCUGCACGAAUGGCGUAAUGAUGGCCAGGCUGUCUCCACCCGAGACUCAGUGAAAUUGAACUCGCUGUGAAGAUGCAGUGUACCCGCGGCAAGACGGAAAGACCCCGUGAACCUUUACUAUAGCUUGACACUGAACAUUGAGCCUUGAUGUGUAGGAUAGGUGGGAGGCUUUGAAGUGUGGACGCCAGUCUGCAUGGAGCCGACCUUGAAAUACCACCCUUUAAUGUUUGAUGUUCUAACGUGGACCCGUUACCCGGGUUGCGGACAGUGUCUGGUGGGUAGUUUGACUGGGGCGGUCUCCUCCUAAAGAGUAACGGAGGAGCACGAAGGUUGGCUAAUCCUGGUCGGACAUCAGGAGGUUAGUGCAAUGGCAUAAGCCAGCUUGACUGCGAGCGUGACGGCGCGAGCAGGUGCGAAAGCAGGUCAUAGUGAUCCGGUGGUUCUGAAUGGAAGGGCCAUCGCUCAACGGAUAAAAGGUACUCCGGGGAUAACAGGCUGAUACCGCCCAAGAGUUCAUAUCGACGGCGGUGUUUGGCACCUCGAUGUCGGCUCAUCACAUCCUGGGGCUGAAGUAGGUCCCAAGGGUAUGGCUGUUCGCCAUUUAAAGUGGUACGCGAGCUGGGUUUAGAACGUCGUGAGACAGUUCGGUCCCUAUCUGCCGUGGGCGCUGGAGAACUGAGGGGGGCUGCUCCUAGUACGAGAGGACCGGAGUGGACGCAUCACUGGUGUUCGGGUUGUCAUGCCAAUGGCACUGCCCGGUAGCUAAAUGCGGAAGAGAUAAGUGCUGAAAGCAUCUAAGCACGAAACUUGCCCCGAGAUGAGUUCUCCCUGAGACUUAAAGUCUCCUGAAGGAACGUUGAAGACGACGACGUUGAUAGGCCGGGUGUGUAAGCGCAGCGAUGCGUUGAGCUAACCGGUACUAAUGAACCGUGAGGCUUAACCUU